GUGCCAGCAGCCGCGGUAAUACGUAGGUGGCAAGCGUUAUCCGGAAUUAUUGGGCGUAAAGCGCGCGUAGGCGGUUUUUUAAGUCUGAUGUGAAAGCCCACGGCUCAACCGUGGAGGGUCAUUGGAAACUGGAAAACUUGAGUGCAGAAGAGGAAAGUGGAAUUCCAUGUGUAGCGGUGAAAUGCGCAGAGAUAUGGAGGAACACCAGUGGCGAAGGCGACUUUCUGGUCUGUAACUGACGCUGAUGUGCGAAAGCGUGGGGAUCGAGCAGGAUUAGAUACCCUGGUAGUCC
Molecule: ribosomal RNA, 292 nt
Filed under: uncultured microorganism
Description: partial 16S ribosomal RNA
Rfam family: Bacterial small subunit ribosomal RNA
Source: RNAcentral